AAUCAACGCUGGCGGCGUGCCUAACACAUGCAAGUCGAACGAGAAAGUGGAGCAAUCCAUGAGUAAAGUGGCGACCGGGUGAGUAACACGUGACUAACCUACCUUCGAGUGGGGGAUAACCUCGGGAAACCGAGGCUAAUACCGCAUAACACUUACGAGUCAAAGCAGCAAUGCGCUUGGAGAGGAGUUCGCGGCCGAUUAGUUAGUUGGCGGGGUAAUGGCCCACCAAGACGAUGAUCGGUAUCCGGCCUGAGAGGGCGCACGGACACACUGGAACUGAAACACGGUCCAGACUCCUACGGGAGGCAGCAGUGGGGAAUUUUGCGCAAUGGGGGAAACCCUGACGCAGCAACGCCGCGUGGAGGAUGAAGUAUCUCGGUACGUAAACUCCUUUCGAUCGGGAAGAUAAUGACGGUACCUAUAGAAGAAGCCCCGGCUAACUUCGUGCCAGCAGCCGCGGUAAUACGAGGGGGGCAAGCGUUGUUCGGAUUUAUUGGGCGUAAAGGGUGCGUAGGCGGUUUGGCAAGUCUUAUGUGAAAUCUAUGGGCUCAACCCAUAGCCUGCAUGAGAAACUACC
This 577-nucleotide ribosomal RNA is filed under the name uncultured bacterium. Its description in RNAcentral is "bacterial SSU rRNA". It matches the Rfam family "Bacterial small subunit ribosomal RNA", at positions 28 to 637 of the family's 1533-position model. The record is from RNAcentral.